Molecule: ribosomal RNA, 159 nt
Filed under: Trichoderma sp.
Lineage: Eukaryota; Fungi; Ascomycota; Sordariomycetes; Hypocreales; Hypocreaceae
Description: partial large subunit ribosomal RNA
Rfam family: Eukaryotic large subunit ribosomal RNA
Source: RNAcentral
CGGCAACAGCUCAGAUUUGAAAUCUGGCCUUCGGGCCCGAGUUGUAAUCUGUAGAGGAUGCUUUUGGUGAGGUGCCGCCCGAGUUCCCUGGAACGGGACGCCACAGAGGGUGAGAGCCCCGUCUGGCUGGCCACCGAGCCUCUGUAAAGCUCCUUCGAC